AUCGAUACCAAAACAUCAAAAUACCGCCAUCUAGUGUUUUUUUUUACAACCUAAUACGCUAUUUAUUUUAUCAAAUAAAUGUCUAACUACUAUUUCUACUUCAACUAUUUUCCUACCCUCCGUAACUACCUAAGUCGAAAAUAAUGUUACUAGGUAACUAAAAAUAUUUCUGAGAUAUUACAACUCUCCUUCACAACCCCUAUUUGAAAAACACGGUCUCCAUUAUCCUUAUUCUAGGCUGUUUGUGUAAAUGUGCCUUACCUGUCUAACUGUCAAAUUUAUAAAAAACUAAACUGUCAAUGUCAAACUGACAUAACCUUGAUAACCUUACUCUUUUUUUUUUUUUUCGGCACCAAACAAAACAAAAACAUGCGUUGUGUUCUACAAUAUUGAUCGCAUGAAGAAAUCUAAAGAUUACCCGAUUAAACUAACGAACUCUUAAAUAAUGAAUGAAUCUAAUAGGACCAAACAUAAUAAUGCAAAACCAACAACACUCCUUGUUGAACUUGAACCCAUGAUAAACCACUGAUCAAACCAUCCACUGUGACAAAACAUUCACAAUGCCUCACUAUUUAUAGACCAAAGUUACUAUUCUUCAAUAAGAUAUGACAUACUGUUUGAAUGCUGAUGAUGAUGAUGAUGUUCUAUAUUUGACAACUAAACUCUGAGACUAUACAUAUA
This is a long non-coding RNA of Plutella xylostella (diamondback moth), 681 nucleotides long. RefSeq lists it as uncharacterized. The record is from RefSeq and is a predicted model, not a curated record. Lineage: Eukaryota; Metazoa; Arthropoda; Insecta; Lepidoptera; Plutellidae.